RNAcentral lists this small RNA (79 nucleotides) under Flavobacterium collinsii. RNAcentral's name for it is "Flavo-1". It matches the Rfam family "Flavo-1 RNA". The record is from RNAcentral. Lineage: Bacteria; Pseudomonadati; Bacteroidota; Flavobacteriia; Flavobacteriales; Flavobacteriaceae.
GCCUAGCCCUGAUAGAAGCGGCAUCCUUUUAUGGUGGUGGGGUUCACCAUAAAAGAUACAGCGGAUAGCAGGAUUAGCU